CCCUUAGAUGUCCUGGGCCGCACGCGCGCUACACUGAGUGUCUGAGAUACGAGUCUGCCUGGUCCGGCAAGGUCUAGGUAAUCGCUAAAAGACACAUCAUGCUUGGGAUAGAUUAUUGCAAAUAUUAAUCUUGAACGAGGAAUUCCUAGUAAGCGCAAGUCAACAGCUUGCGUUGAUUACGUCCCUGCCCUUUGUACACACCGCCCGUCGCUACUACUGAUUGGAUGUUUAAGCGAGGUUCUCGAACUGCUAGCGACUUAGCUUCGGUGAGGUCGCAGUGUGGGAAGUGAACCUAGCUUUGGUGUCUAGAGGAAGCAAAAGUCGUAACA
RNAcentral lists this ribosomal RNA (329 nucleotides) under uncultured eukaryote. RNAcentral's name for it is "partial 18S ribosomal RNA". It matches the Rfam family "Eukaryotic small subunit ribosomal RNA", at positions 1470 to 1796 of the family's 1831-position model. The record is from RNAcentral.